AUUGAACGCUGGCGGCAGGCCUAACACAUGCAAGUCGGACGGUAGCACAGAGAGCUUGCUCUUGGGUGACGAGUGGCGGACGGGUGAGUAAUGUCUGGGGAUCUGCCCGAUAGAGGGGGGUAACCACUGGAAACGGUGGCUAAUACCGCAUAACGUCGCAAGACCAAAGAGGGGGGCCUUCGGGCCUCUCACUAUCGGAUGAACCCAGAUGGGAUUAGCUAGUAGGCGGGGUAAUGGCCCACCUAGGCGACGAUCCCUAGCUGGUCUGAGAGGGUGACCAGCCACACUGGAACUGAGACACGGCCCAGACUCCUACGGGAGGCAGCAGUGGGGAAUAUUGCACAAUGGGCGCAAGCCUGAUGCAGCCAUGCCGCGUGUAUGAAGAAGGCCUUCGGGUUGUAAAGUACUUUCAGCGGGGAGGAAGGCGGUGAGGUUAAUAACCUUGCCGAUUGACGUUACCCGCAGAAGAAGCACCGGCUAACUCCGUGCCAGCAGCCGCCGUAA
This 504-nucleotide ribosomal RNA is filed under the name uncultured bacterium. RNAcentral's name for it is "partial 16S ribosomal RNA". It matches the Rfam family "Bacterial small subunit ribosomal RNA", at positions 29 to 523 of the family's 1533-position model. The record is from RNAcentral.